GCGAACGCUGGUGGCAGGCCUAACCCAUGCAAGUCGCACGAACUCUUCGGAGUUAGUGGCGGACGGGUGAGUAACACGUGGGAACGUGCCUUUUGGUUCGGAAUAACUCAGGGAAACUUGUGCUAAUACCGAAUGUGCCCUUCGGGGGAAAGAUUUAUCGCCAUUAGAGCGGCCCGCGUCUGAUUAGCUAGUUGGUGAGGUAACGGCUCACCAAGGCGACGAUCAGUAGCUGGUCUGAGAGGAUGACCAGCCACACUGGGACUGAGACACGGCCCAGACUCCUACGGGAGGCAGCAGUGGGGAAUCUUGCGCAAUGGGCGAAAGCCUGACGCAGCCAUGCCGCGUGAAUGAUGAAGGUCUUAGGAUUGUAAAAUUCUUUCACCGGGGACGAUAAUGACGGUACCCGGAGAAGAAGCCCCGGCUAACUUCGUG
RNAcentral lists this ribosomal RNA (432 nucleotides) under uncultured bacterium. RNAcentral describes it as "partial 16S ribosomal RNA". It matches the Rfam family "Bacterial small subunit ribosomal RNA", at positions 29 to 507 of the family's 1533-position model. The record is from RNAcentral.